UGGGGAAUUUUGGACAAUGGGGGCAACCCUGAUCCAGCAAUGCCGCGUGUGUGAAGAAGGCCUUCGGGUUGUAAAGCACUUUUGUCCGGGAAGAAAUCCCCUGCCCUAAUACGCGGGGGGAUGACGGUACCGGAAGAAUAAGCACCGGCUAACUACGUGCCAGCAGCCGCGGUAAUACGUAGGGUGCGAGCGUUAAUCGGAAUUACUGGGCGUAAAGCGUGCGCAGGCGGUGAUGUAAGACCGAUGUGAAAUCCCCGGGCUCAACCUGGGAACUGCAUUGGUGACUGCAUUGCUCGAGUAUGGCAGAGGGGGGUGGAAUUCCACGUGUAGCAGUGAAAUGCGUAGAGAUGUGGAGGAACACCGAUGGCGAAGGCAGCCCCCUGGGCCAAUACUGACGCUCAUGCACGAAAGCGUGGGGAGCAAACAGGAUUAGAUACCCUGGUAGUCCACGCCCUAAACGAUGUCAACUGGUUGUCGGGCCUUCAUUGGCUUGGUAACGUAGCUAACGCGUGAAGUUGACCGCCUGGGGGAGUACGGUCGCAAGAUUAAAACUCAAAUGAAUUGACGGGGUCAUAGCUGUUUCCU
Molecule: ribosomal RNA, 585 nt
Filed under: uncultured bacterium
Lineage: Bacteria
Description: partial 16S ribosomal RNA
Rfam family: Bacterial small subunit ribosomal RNA
Source: RNAcentral